CCUGACCGGAAAUAGUGGCUUUAAACAAUGUGCGCUUAAUGGUUUCGACCUCCAGCCUCAGCAGCAGAAUCCGCACCGCUCUCCGCUGCGUCGGUGACCGCCUCCCCCCACAGGACAGCGGCUGCACGUCGGACACAGAGCCUGCCCGAGGGAAGGCGGGGGCUGGUGUGGGGUGCGGACAGCUCCCGGCUCCGCUGCUGCUGGAUGGACGAAUGGAGCCCGGCUGCAUGCACACAGCAAUGGCUAUGGGUCUGAUGUCGAAGAAGGCGUCCGUCCGGAGCGUCGGUGUGGAAAGAAAGAACCUCAUCACGGUGUGCAGGUUCUCGGUCAAGACUCUCUUGGAAAAGUACACGGCGGAGCCCAUCGACGACUCAGCCGAAGAGUUCGUCAACUUUGCCGCCAUCUUGGAACAUAUCCUCAGUCACCGCUUUAAAGGCUCAGCCAGCUGGUUCAGCUCAGAUGGACAGCGCAGCUUCUGGGAGUACAUCCGGCUGGCCUGUAGUAAGGUGCAGAACAACUGCAUCAGCAGCAUCGAGAACAUUGAGAACAUCAGCACGUCUCGAGCCAAGGGUCGGGCAUGGAUUCGAGUGGCGCUAAUGGAGAAACGUCUUUCGGAAUACGUGUCCACUGCCCUGAGGGACACCAGAACGACCAGGAGGUUCUACGACGACGGUGCCAUCAUGCUGAGGGAAGAGGCCACGGUGCUGACCGGCAUGCUCAUUGGCCUCGGCGCCAUCGACUUUAGUUUCUGCCUGAAGGGUGAAACAUUGGACGGCAAGUCCCCGGCGGUGAUUGACUACACUCCCUACUUGAAGUUCACUCAGAGCUAUGACUGCUUAAGCGACGACGAGGACCGGCGCAGCGUAGACAGCAGCAACAGUGAGGAGAGCGUACCCGAGCAUCCUUACGUCCCGCUAGUCACCGAUGAGGAGAGCUGGAGUAACAAGUGCCGCAAGAUGGAGCAGCGAUUUAAGAUCGUAUACGCCCAGAAGGGCUACUUGGAGGAGCUGGUUCGCCUUCGUGAGUCACAGCUAAAGAACAUCGAGAUGGACAACAAGCGUCUGAGGGCAAAAGUGGAAGAGCUGACAUUGCAGAGUCAGCGCGAGAAGAAGGAGCUGGAGGCCGUUGUGCUGGAGCUGCAGGCUCAGCUCUCCUCCCUCAUGCCCUGCGACCCUUCCCACCUGGGAAAAAACCUUCCCAUCCCUCUCAUCAACCAGUGGACCGCCAUCAACGACCACCGGAGAGACGUCAAACUCUUCCGCAGACAUUAUUGUGGUUCCUCCAGGAGGAGUUUCCACAGUUUGGAGCAACUUUCCGCCAAGAACAGCCUCAACUUGGACUCUCAGAGGACCGACGAGAGGCAAAACGGAGACGCUGAUUGGACUUCAGCAGGAAAGGACAACACACCAUCAAUGUUGGGCCUCUGCGGCUCUUUGGCGUCGCUACCGAGCUCCAAGUCGCUGACCAGCCUCAAGUCCAGCGAGUGUCUGGUCAACAUCAGCACCGAGCCCAGCCCCGCGCUCUCCCCCAGCUAGGACAUACCACCCGACAACCCUUCCUCGCCUUUCAAUUUCCUCCCUCUCACCCUGGACCAACCGCCAACGUCUCCACGAAUGUACAGCAAGAAUUCUGGUCGUUAUUAUCUUUGCCUCUUUCGGUCUUUUUCUCACCCGCAACCAUUUUGUUGUCUCUCGGACAUCACAACAACACAAACCAGAUGUCAAUACUGUACUGUCAAACCAAAACAAACACGCAGCAUUGGAUGUGAGGCAACACCUCCUGUUUGGGCCUUCUUCCUUCUUUGUGCGCUUUAAACCUGAGAUUAUUGUUAUUAUUACUAUUGUUUUGUUUAAAGAAGCAAUCAUCAAUUUAACCGGAAAAUGCGAACUUUGGCUCCAUCUACCGGCAAUCAAUGGAAGAAAAUUCUAUAGGCCACUUUAUAAUGCA
RNA transcript from Hippocampus zosterae (dwarf seahorse), 1947 nucleotides. It is a transcript of the gene named RUN domain containing 3Aa, with no coding region annotated. NCBI's taxonomy places the organism in Eukaryota, Metazoa, Chordata, Actinopteri, Syngnathiformes, Syngnathidae. The transcript has 12 exons. The record is from RefSeq and is a predicted model, not a curated record.